This 717-nucleotide ribosomal RNA is filed under the name Triticum aestivum (bread wheat). RNAcentral's name for it is "partial small subunit ribosomal RNA". Lineage: Eukaryota; Viridiplantae; Streptophyta; Magnoliopsida; Poales; Poaceae. The record is from RNAcentral.
AUGCAAGUUCCGGAAUACUUCGUGUGCAACCCUGCGACCGACAAGAUCUGGGCAGUGCUGCCUGCGCUUGAUGUGCCAGAGCCUCAAGUUCCCUACAUCUACAUGGUGGGCCAACAUGUAACCUGGAGCUGCAAGUUCUGUUUGUGUUUCAACCCCGCCGUUCCCUCUCGCUUCGUGGUUUUCGCGUUCGUUGAGAGAGGCCACACCAUAGUGGCAGUAAGGGUCUACUCAUCCGAUACCGGAGAAUGGAUUUCCACAGAGAGCGGUGGCCAUAUCGUGGCAUAUGGUGUGGACACGGACGGGGAUACUUGGAGGAGAAUUCCAAUGCCACCCGAAGCUCAUUUUUCUUUCAUUGGGCACUCUCAGGGACACUUAUACGGUAUGGGCAUAGAGCAUGUUAAUGAUUGCGUGCUAUCGGUUUGGGCUCUCAAGGAUUAUCCCAGUGGAAAGUGGACCUUAAAACAUACUGCCAGCAUCUUGAAACUGCUAGGAAGGUCUUAUCGUGAGCUCGGUGAACAAUAUAUGGUGGCUGCGGUCCAUCCAGAAUGUAACCUGAUCUUCCUUGUUGGUUGGAUGAGAUCGCAAGAGACACUUAUGUCGUAUGAUAUGGAUAGUCAGAAACUGAACGUUAUCUGCACUCUUGACGAUUACCACAUGUCAACGCUCCGACCUUACAUUCCCUGCUUUGCGGAAUGGCCGCCGUCAGAUGCUCACUGA